This 490-nucleotide ribosomal RNA is filed under the name uncultured bacterium. Its description in RNAcentral is "partial 16S ribosomal RNA". It matches the Rfam family "Bacterial small subunit ribosomal RNA", at positions 29 to 506 of the family's 1533-position model. The record is from RNAcentral.
GUGCACGCUGGCGGUAGGCCUAACACAUGCCAGUCGCACGGCAGCACAGUAAGAGCUUGCUCUUACGGGUGGCGAGUGGCGGACGGGUGAGGAAUACAUCGGAAUCUACUUUUUCGUGGGGGAUAACGUAGGGAAACUUACGCUAAUACCGCAUACGACCUACGGGUGAAAGCAGGGGAUCUUCGGACCUUGCGCGAUUGAAUGAGCCGAUGUCGGAUUAGCUAGUUGGCGGGGUAAAGGCCCACCAAGGCGACGAUCCGUAGCUGGUCUGAGAGGAUGAUCAGCCACACUGGAACUGAGACACGGUCCAGACUCCUACGGGAGGCAGCAGUGGGGAAUAUUGGACAGUGGGCGCAAGCCUGAUCCAGCCAUACCGCGUGGGUGAAGAAGGCCUUCGGGUUGUAAAGCCCUUUUGUUGGGAAAGAAAAGCAGCAGGUUAAUACCCCGCUGUUCUGACGGUACCCAAAGAAUAAGCACCGGCUAACUUCGU